RNAcentral lists this ribosomal RNA (590 nucleotides) under uncultured marine bacterium. Its description in RNAcentral is "bacterial SSU rRNA". It matches the Rfam family "Bacterial small subunit ribosomal RNA", at positions 61 to 659 of the family's 1533-position model. The record is from RNAcentral.
GUUGAGCGAAGCUUUUUGGUAGUUUACUACUAGAAAUGACUGAGCGGCGAACGGGUGAGUAACGCGUGAGCAAUCUACCUUAGUUACUGGGAUAGCCCGAGGAAACUCGGAUUAAUACCGGAUAUUCUUAUUUUUUCACAUGAAGUUUUAAGGAAAGGUCAGCCGAACUAAGAUGAGCUCGCGUUCUAUCAGCUAGUUGGUGGGGUAAAAGCCUACCAAGGCUACGACGGAUAGCUGGUCUGAGAGGACGAUCAGCCACACUGGGACUGAGACACGGCCCAGACUCCUACGGGAGGCUGCAGCAGGGAAUAUUGUGCAAUGAGCGAAAGCUUGACACAGCGACACCGCGUGUGGGAUGACGGUUCUAGGAUUGUAAACCACUUUCAGGAGGGAAGAAAAUGACGGUACCUCCACAAGAAGACCCGGCCAACUAUGUGCCAGCAGCCGCGGUAAUACAUAGGGGUCAAGCGUUGUCCGGAUUUAUUGGGCGUAAAGAGCUCGUAGGCGGUUCAACAAGUCGGUCGUAAAAGUUUAGGGCUCAACCCUAAAAUGUCGAUCGAUACUGUUGUGACUAGGAUACGGUAGAGGUG